AUAUGCUUGUCUCAAAGAUUAAGCCAUGCAUGUCUAAGUAUAAGCAAUCUAUACAGUGAAACUGCGAAUGGCUCAUUAAAUCAGUUAUCGUUUAUUUGAUAGUACCUUACUACUUGGAUAACCGUGGUAAUUCUAGAGAUAAUACAUGCUAAAAACCUCGACUUCGGAAGGGGUGUAUUUAUUAGAUAAAAAACCAAUGCCCUUCGGGGCUCCUUGGUGAUUCAUGAUAACUUAACGAAUCGCAUGGCCUUGUGCCGGCGAUGGUUCAUUCAAAUUUCUGCCCUAUCAACUUUCGAUGGUAGGAUAGUGGCCUACCAUGGUUUCAACGGGUAACGGGGAAUUAGGGUUCUAUUCCGGAGAGGGAGCCUGAGAAACGGCUACCACAUCCAAGGAAGGCAGCAGGCGCGCAAAUUACCCAAUCCCGACACGGGGAGGUAGUGACAAUAAAUACUGAUACAGGGCUCUUUUGGGUCUUGUAAUUGGAAUGAGUACAAUUUAAAUCCCUUAACGAGGAACAAUAGGAGGNNNNNNNNNNNNNNNNNNNNNGCGGUAAUUCCAGCUCCACUAGCGUAUAUUAAAGUUGUUGCAGUUAAAAAGCUCGUAGUUGAACCUUGGGCCUGGCUGGCCGGUCCGCCUCACCGCGUGCACUGGUCCGGCCGGGCCUUUCCUCCUGGGGAGCCGCAUGCCCUUCACUGGGUGUGUCGGGGAACCAGGACUUUUACUUUGAAAAAAUUAGAGUGUUCAAAGCAGGCCUAUGCUCGAAUACAUUAGCAUGGAAUAAUAGAAUAGGACGUGUGGUUCUAUUUUGUUGGUUUCUAGGACCGCCGUAAUGAUUAAUAGGGAUAGUCGGGGGCAUCAGUAUUCAAUUGUCAGAGGUGAAAUUCUUGGAUUUAUUGAAGACUAACUACUGCGAAAGCAUUUGCCAAGGAUGUUUUCAUUAAUCAGUGAACGAAAGUUAGGGGAUCGAAGACGAUCAAAUACCGUCGUACUCUUAACCAUAAACUAUGCCGACUAGGGAUCGGGCGAUGUUAUCUUUUUGACUCGCUCGGCACCUUACGAGAAAUCAAAGUUUUUGGGUUC
RNAcentral lists this ribosomal RNA (1080 nucleotides) under Pseudeurotium zonatum. RNAcentral describes it as "SSU rRNA". It matches the Rfam family "Eukaryotic small subunit ribosomal RNA", at positions 26 to 1114 of the family's 1831-position model. Lineage: Eukaryota; Fungi; Ascomycota; Leotiomycetes; Thelebolales; Pseudeurotiaceae. The record is from RNAcentral.